GCAAUAGCUGAUUGCAUUUAAUUUAAUGUAGUUACUACUUGGUAGUUUAAAUUUCUAGGUAGAAUUAUGAUGAUGACAUNAUCUAUCUAUUAGUCUUGACCAAAUUACGUGCCAGCAGUCGCGGUAAUACGUAGAAGACAAGUGUUAUUCAUCUUUAUUAGGUUUAAAGAGUACCAAGACGGUUAAUAAAGCCCAAAAGAAAUGAAUACGGGGGACACAUUAACUAGAGUUAUAUGAAAGGAAGCUAUAAGGUACUGUUGAGUGUAGAGAUGAAAUUUAAUGAUACCAGAUGAUUGGCACAGAUUUAUGCGAAGGCAUCUUCUUAUGUAAUAACUGACGUUGUAGGACGAAGGCUUAGGAAGUGAACAGGAUUAGGUACCCCAGUAAUCUAGGCAGAAAAUGAUGAAUGUCAUAGGUUGAAUACAGACAAGUUAAAUUUACUAUAUAAUUGUAAAUAGGUGGUAUAUUUAAUGAGUCUAUUAUUGUGUCUAUAAAUGAAAGUGUAAGCAUUCCACCUCAAGAGUAAUUUGGCAACAUUGGAACUGAAAUCAUUAGACCGUUUCUGAAACCAGUAGUGAAGUAUGUUGUUUAAUUAGAUGAUACACAAAAACCUUACCACAAUUUGAAUAUAUAUAAAAUAUAUUUACAAGCGCUGCACGGCUGUCUACAGUUAAUGUCGUGAGACUUUGGUUAGCUCCAUUAAAUUGACGUA
RNAcentral lists this ribosomal RNA (712 nucleotides) under Sticta aff. cordillerana. Its description in RNAcentral is "SSU rRNA". It matches the Rfam family "Bacterial small subunit ribosomal RNA", at positions 375 to 1100 of the family's 1533-position model. Lineage: Eukaryota; Fungi; Ascomycota; Lecanoromycetes; Peltigerales; Lobariaceae. The record is from RNAcentral.